UACGACCUCAGAUCAGACG
RNAcentral lists this ribosomal RNA (19 nucleotides) under Lamna nasus. RNAcentral's name for it is "partial 28S ribosomal RNA". Lineage: Eukaryota; Metazoa; Chordata; Chondrichthyes; Lamniformes; Lamnidae. The record is from RNAcentral.